UACGGAGGGUGCAAGCGUUGCUCGGAAUUAUUGGGCGUAAAGGGUAGGUAGGUGGUCUCGUUUGUCUGAGGUGAAAGCCCUGGGCUUAACUCAGGAAGUGCCUCAGAAACGGCGAGACUGGAGUCCUGGAGAGGGUCGUGGAAUUCCCGGUGUAGCGGUGAAAUGCGUAGAGAUCGGGAGGAACACCAGAGGCGAAGGCGGCGGCCUGGACAGGAACUGACACUCAACUACGAAAGCGUGGGGAUCAAACAGG
This 253-nucleotide ribosomal RNA is filed under the name uncultured prokaryote. RNAcentral's name for it is "partial 16S ribosomal RNA". It matches the Rfam family "Bacterial small subunit ribosomal RNA", at positions 524 to 776 of the family's 1533-position model. The record is from RNAcentral.